UAGUGAUUAACGCGAAGAACCUUACCUGGGUUUGACAUAUAGAGAAAACUGUCAGAGAUGGCAGGUCCGUAAGGGCUCUAUACAGGUGGUGCAUGGCUGUCGUCAGCUCGUGUCGUGAGAUGUUGGGUUAAGUCCCGCAACGAGCGCAACCCUCGUCCUAUGUUGCCAGCACAUAAUGGUGGGGACUCAUAGGAGACUGCCGGGGUCAACUCGGAGGAAGGUGGGGAUGAGGUCAAGUCAUCAUGCCCCUUAUGUCCAGGGCUUCACGCAUGCUACAAUGGCCGGUACAAAGGGCUGCGAAACCGCAAAGUAGAGCGAAUCCCAAAAAGCCGGUCUCAGUUCGGAUUGGGGUCUGCAACUCGACCCCAUGAAGUCGGAGUCGCUAGUAAUCGCAGAUCAGCAACGCUGCGGUGAAUACGUUCCCGGGCCUUGUCACACCGAAUCGAAUUCC
RNAcentral lists this ribosomal RNA (451 nucleotides) under uncultured soil bacterium. RNAcentral's name for it is "bacterial SSU rRNA". It matches the Rfam family "Bacterial small subunit ribosomal RNA", at positions 951 to 1384 of the family's 1533-position model. The record is from RNAcentral.